Molecule: ribosomal RNA, 261 nt
Filed under: uncultured bacterium
Lineage: Bacteria
Description: partial 16S ribosomal RNA
Rfam family: Bacterial small subunit ribosomal RNA
Source: RNAcentral
GCAAGUCGCACGUGAAAGUCUUCGGACGAGUAAAGUGGCGGACGGGCGAGUAACACGUAAUCAAGCUACCCUCGAGACGGGGAUAACUUCGGGAAACCGAAGCUAAUACCGGAUGGUCUCAGAGCAUCGCAUGGUGCAUUGAGUAAAUGGUGGGGAUCCUUCGGGACCUGCUGCUCGGGGAGGUGAUUGCGACCCAUCAGCUAGUUGGCGGGGUAACAGCCCACCAAGGCAACGACGGGUAGCCGGCCUAAGAGGGUGGUC